CCAUGGAUGGGUCUGCGGCCUAUCAGGUAGUAGUGGGUGUAAUGUACCUACUAGCCGACAACGGGUACGGGUUGUGAGAGCAAGAGCCCGGAGAUGGAUUCUGAGACAUGAAUCCAGGCCCUACGGGGCGCAGCAGGCGCGAAAACUUUACAAUGCGGGAAACCGUGAUAAGGGGACACCGAGUGUCAGCAUCAUAUGCUGGCUGUCCAGGUGUGUAAAAUACACCUGUUAGCAAGGGCCGGGCAAGACCGGUGCCAGCCGCCGCGGUAACACCGGCGGCCCGAGUGGUGAUCGUGAUUAUUGGGUCUAAAGGGUCCGUAGCCGGUUUGGUCAGUCCUCCGGGAAAUCUGAUAGCUCAACUAUUAGGCUAUCGGGGGAUACUACCAGACUUGGAACCGGGAGAGGUAAGAGGUACUACAGGGGUAGGAGUGAAAUCUUGUAAUCCCUGUGGGACCACCUGUGGCGAAGGCGUCUUACCAGAACGGGUUCGACGGUGAGGGACGAAAGCUGGGGGCACGAACCGGAUUAGAUACCCGGGUAGUCCCAGCCGUAAACGAUGCUCGCUAGGUGUCAGGCAUGGCGCGACCGUGUCUGGUGCCGCAGGGAAGCCGUGAAGCGAGCCACCUGGGAAGUACGGCCGCAAGGCUGAA
RNAcentral lists this ribosomal RNA (650 nucleotides) under uncultured Methanosarcina sp. RNAcentral's name for it is "bacterial SSU rRNA". It matches the Rfam family "Archaeal small subunit ribosomal RNA", at positions 203 to 853 of the family's 1478-position model. Lineage: Archaea; Methanobacteriati; Methanobacteriota; Methanomicrobia; Methanosarcinales; Methanosarcinaceae. The record is from RNAcentral.